CUUCAUUUAAAAAUCCCAAUUCACCAUUACAACACUGACUUCAGUAGCGAUUGCCUCAGUCUUCCCAAAACUCUACGAAGAAGAAAAAUCCAAAUUCUAUGUCUUUCCUUCCCCGACCCGAAGCAUGAAGCUCCUCUCUCUAAUUCCCUUGAUCUUCAAAAAAAAAAAAAACUCCAAUGAAACCCGAACUGGUAACCUUCCAAAAGCUUGAAAACUAGCUCCCCCCCGAUUCCUCCGAAAGAAAAAAACCUCCCUCCUCAAAACUAUAUCCCCC
RNAcentral lists this long non-coding RNA (274 nucleotides) under Physcomitrium patens. RNAcentral describes it as "long non-coding RNA (PPAT_LNC006412)". Lineage: Eukaryota; Viridiplantae; Streptophyta; Bryopsida; Funariales; Funariaceae. The record is from RNAcentral.